UUAAGCGACUAAGCGUACACGGUGGAUGCCCUGGCAGUCAGAGGCGAUGAAGGACGUGCUAAUCUGCGAAAAGCGUCGGUAAGGUGAUAUGAACCGUUAUAACCGGCGAUGUCCGAAUGGGGAAACCCAGUGCAAUUCGUUGCACUAUCGUUAACUGAAUACAUAGGUUAACGAGGCGAACCGGGGGAACUGAAACAUCUAAGUACCCCGAGGAAAAGAAAUCAACCGAGAUUCCCCCAGUAGCGGCGAGCGAACGGGGAGCAGCCCAGAGUCUGAAUCAGCUUGUGUGUUAGUGGAACGGUCUGGAAAGUCCGACGGUACAGGGUGAUAGUCCCGUACACCAAAAUGCACAGGUUGUGAACUCGAAGAGUAGGGCGGGACACGUGGUAUCCUGUCUGAAUAUGGGGGGACCAUCCUCCAAGGCUAAAUACUCCUGACUGACCGAUAGUGAACCAGUACCGUGAGGGAAAGGCGAAAAGAACCCCGGCGAGGGGAGUGAAAAAGAACCUGAAACCGUGUACGUACAAGCAGUGGGAGCACCUUCGGGUGUGACUGCGUACCUUUUGUAUAAUGGGUCAGCGACUUAUAUUCUGUAGCAAGGUUAACCGUAUAGGGGAGCCGCAGGGAAACCGAGUCUUAACUGGGCGUUAAGUUGCAGGGUAUAGACCCGAAACCCGGUGAUCUAGCCAUGGGCAGGUUGAAGGUUGGGUAACACUAACUGGAGGACCGAACCGACUAAUGUUGAAAAAUUAGCGGAUGACUUGUGGCUGGGGGUGAAAGGCCAAUCAAACCGGGAGAUAGCUGGUUCUCCCCGAAAGCUAUUUAGGUAGCGCCUCGUGAAUUCAUCUUCGGGGGUAGAGCACUGUUUCGGCUAGGGGGUCAUCCCGACUUACCAACCCGAUGCAAACUACGAAUACCGAAGAAUGUUAUCACGGGAGACACACGGCGGGUGCUAACGUCCGUCGUGAAGAGGGAAACAACCCAGACCGCCAGCUAAGGUCCCAAAGUCAUGGUUAAGUGGGAAACGAUGUGGGAAGGCACAGACAGCCAGGAUGUUGGCUUAGAAGCAGCCAUCAUUUAAAGAAAGCGUAAUAGCUCACUGGUCGAGUCGGCCUGCGCGGAAGAUGUAACGGGGCUAAACCAUGCACCGAAGCUGCGGCAGCGACACUAUGUGUUGUUGGGUAGGGGAGCGUUCUGUAAGCCUGCGAAGGUGACCUGUGAGGGUUGCUGGAGGUAUCAGAAGUGCGAAUGCUGACAUAAGUAACGAUAAAGCGGGUGAAAAGCCCGCUCGCCGGAAGACCAAGGGUUCCUGUCCAACGUUAAUCGGGGCAGGGUGAGUCGACCCCUAAGGCGAGGCCGAAAGGCGUAGUCGAUGGGAAACAGGUUAAUAUUCCUGUACUUGGUGUUACUGCGAAGGGGGGACGGAGAAGGCUAUGUUAGCCGGGCGACGGUUGUCCCGGUUUAAGCAUGUAGGCUGGUUGUCCAGGCAAAUCCGGAUAAUCAAGGCUGAGGUGUGAUGACGAGGCACUACGGUGCUGAAGUAACAAAUGCCCUGCUUCCAGGAAAAGCCUCUAAGCAUCAGGUAACAUCAAAUCGUACCCCAAACCGACACAGGUGGUCAGGUAGAGAAUACCAAGGCGCUUGAGAGAACUCGGGUGAAGGAACUAGGCAAAAUGGUGCCGUAACUUCGGGAGAAGGCACGCUGGUGUGUAGGUGAAGUCCCUGCGGAUGGAGCUGAGACCAGUCGAAGAUACCAGCUGGCUGCAACUGUUUAUUAAAAACACAGCACUGUGCAAACACGAAAGUGGACGUAUACGGUGUGACGCCUGCCCGGUGCCGGAAGGUUAAUUGAUGGGGUUAUCCGUAAGGAGAAGCUCUUGAUCGAAGCCCCGGUAAACGGCGGCCGUAACUAUAACGGUCCUAAGGUAGCGAAAUUCCUUGUCGGGUAAGUUCCGACCUGCACGAAUGGCGUAAUGAUGGCCAGGCUGUCUCCACCCGAGACUCAGUGAAAUUGAACUCGCUGUGAAGAUGCAGUGUACCCGCGGCAAGACGGAAAGACCCCGUGAACCUUUACUAUAGCUUGACACUGAACAUUGAGCCUUGAUGUGUAGGAUAGGUGGGAGGCUUUGAAGCGUGGACGCCAGUCUGCGUGGAGCCAACCUUGAAAUACCACCCUUUAAUGUUUGAUGUUCUAACGUUGGCCCCUUAUCGGGGUUGCGGACAGUGUCUGGUGGGUAGUUUGACUGGGGCGGUCUCCUCCCAAAGCGUAACGGAGGAGCACGAAGGUUAGCUAAUCCUGGUCGGACAUCAGGAGGUUAGUGCAAUGGCAUAAGCUAGCUUGACUGCGAGCGUGACGGCGCGAGCAGGUGCGAAAGCAGGUCAUAGUGAUCCGGUGGUUCUGAAUGGAAGGGCCAUCGCUCAACGGAUAAAAGGUACUCCGGGGAUAACAGGCUGAUACCGCCCAAGAGUUCAUAUCGACGGCGGUGUUUGGCACCUCGAUGUCGGCUCAUCACAUCCUGGGGCUGAAGUAGGUCCCAAGGGUAUGGCUGUUCGCCAUUUAAAGUGGUACGCGAGCUGGGUUUAGAACGUCGUGAGACAGUUCGGUCCCUAUCUGCCGUGGGCGCUGGAGAAUUGAGGGGGGCUGCUCCUAGUACGAGAGGACCGGAGUGGACGCAUCACUGGUGUUCGGGUUGUCAUGCCAAUGGCACUGCCCGGUAGCUAAAUGCGGAAGAGAUAAGUGCUGAAAGCAUCUAAGCACGAAACUUGCCCCGAGAUGAGUUCUCCCUGAGACUUUAAGUCUCCUGAAGGAACGUUAAAGACGAUGACGUUGAUAGGCCGGGUGUGUAAGCGCAGCGAUGCGUUGAGCUAACCGGUACUAAUGAACCGUGAGGCUUAACCUU
This 2900-nucleotide ribosomal RNA is filed under the name Klebsiella pneumoniae. RNAcentral describes it as "bacterial LSU rRNA". It matches the Rfam family "Bacterial large subunit ribosomal RNA". The record is from RNAcentral. RNAcentral also lists the same sequence under 1 other name. Lineage: Bacteria; Pseudomonadati; Pseudomonadota; Gammaproteobacteria; Enterobacterales; Enterobacteriaceae.